AGAACUUCCCAGAGCGAUGAAAGGGGAGGGGCCCAUGGCUCUGUAGCAGGAAUGCAGGGCAGGGACAGAAAGGAGGGGAAGGAAAUGGCCACACGACGGCAGCAGAACCUGAGAAAUGAAACACAACUGGCUUCCGAACAGUGAAUGAACCUGACUCCCGUAUCAUGAAAAGCCCAAAAGCCGUUUCUUUCUAUGCCUGGGAGAAAAGAGUUCCAAUCAUUCCUGCCCAUUUACUUUUGAAUUAUUUUACAUUGUAAAGAAAAUUGUAACAAAAUGA
Mauremys reevesii (Reeves's turtle) is the source of this 277-nucleotide long non-coding RNA. RefSeq lists it as uncharacterized. The transcript has 2 exons. The record is from RefSeq and is a predicted model, not a curated record. Lineage: Eukaryota; Metazoa; Chordata; Testudines; Geoemydidae.